GACGAACGCUGGCGGCGUGCUUAACACAUGCAAGUCGAACGGAAAGGCCUCUUUCGGGGGGUACUCGAGUGGCGAACGGGUGAGUAACACGUGAGUAACCUGCCCUUGACUUUGGGAUAACUUCAGGAAACUGUGGCUAAUACCUGAUAGGAGCUCCUGCUGCAUGGUGGGGGUUGGACAGUUUCGGCGGUUGGGGAUGGACUCGCGGCUUAUCAGCUUGUUUGGGGGGUAGUGGCUUACCAAGGCUUUGACGGGUAGCCGGACUGAGAGGGUGACCGGCCACAUUGGGACUGAGAUAAGGCCCAGACGCCUACGGGAGGAAGCAGUGGGGAAGAUUGAAAAAUGGGUGGAAGCCUGAUGCAGCAACGCCGUGUGCGGGAUGACGGCCUUCGGGUUGUAAACCGCUUUCGCUCAUGACGAAGCUUUGUGUGACGGUAGUGGGUAAAGAAGCACCGGCUAACUACGUG
RNAcentral lists this ribosomal RNA (467 nucleotides) under uncultured bacterium. RNAcentral's name for it is "partial 16S ribosomal RNA". It matches the Rfam family "Bacterial small subunit ribosomal RNA", at positions 28 to 507 of the family's 1533-position model. The record is from RNAcentral.